GACGAACGCUGGCGGCGUGCUUAACACAUGCAAGUCGAACGGAAAGGCCCUGCUUUUGUGGGGUGCUCGAGUGGCGAACGGGGGAGUAACACGUGAGUAACCUGCCCUUGACUUUGGGGUAACUUCAGGAAACUGGGGCUAAUACCGGAUAGGAUCUCCUGCUGCAUGGUGGGGGUUGGAAAGUUUCGGGGGUUGGGGUUGGAUUCGCGUCUUAUCGGCUUGUUGGUGGGGUAGUGGCAUACCAAGGCUUUGACGGGUAGCCGGCCUGAGAGGGUGACCGGCCACAUUGGGACUGAGAUACGGCCCAGAAUGCUACGGGAGGCAGCAGAGGAGAAUAUUGCACAAUGGGCGGAAGCCUGAUGCAGAAACGCCGCGUGCGGGAUGACGGCCUUCGGGUUGUAAACCGCUUUCGCCUGAGACGAAGCGUGAGUGACGGUAAUGGGUAAAGAAGCACCGGCUAACUACGUG
RNAcentral lists this ribosomal RNA (468 nucleotides) under uncultured bacterium. Its description in RNAcentral is "partial 16S ribosomal RNA". It matches the Rfam family "Bacterial small subunit ribosomal RNA", at positions 28 to 507 of the family's 1533-position model. The record is from RNAcentral.